This 601-nucleotide ribosomal RNA is filed under the name Tetraselmis sp. DS3. RNAcentral's name for it is "eukaryotic LSU rRNA". The stretch from base 163 to 316 matches the Rfam family "5.8S ribosomal RNA". The record is from RNAcentral. Lineage: Eukaryota; Viridiplantae; Chlorophyta; Chlorodendrophyceae; Chlorodendrales; Chlorodendraceae.
AACCACCCAGCGAACCUAAAUGUCUGCGUCCUAGACCAGCCCCUCCAACAGGCUUAGGCCUUUGGGGGACCAGCUGGCUAGGCGCCAAACCAAAUUCACUCAACACAAAAACAAGUCUGAAGCUAUUUCUGAUUGACCCAGUCGAUCAGUCUAACCUAAGACAACUCUCAACAACGGAUAUCUUGGCUCCUACAACGAUGAAGAACGCAGCGAAAUGCGAUACGUAGUGUGAAUUGCAGAAUUCCGUGAACCAUCGAAUCUUUGAACGCAUAUUGCGCUCGAGGCCUCGGCCAAGAGCACGCCUGCCUCAGGGUCAUGAUUACCUCACCCCUACCUACCUAGGUAUUGGGUGGACCUGGCCUCCUCACCCGCAAGGGUGGGCUGGCUGAAGUGCAGAGAUCGAACCACUGCCAUAUCUUGGGCCCCCUGGAGUGCCUCGGCACCCAGGUGGGCCUGGGGGCGAGCACCGGUAGGUAGCCUAAGGGUUAUUCCGUGCGCGCUGGUGGCCGCUGGGAGUGAUCAAGCAGGUAUUUGCCUCCGGGUAAAUAAUCAACAUUUGACCUGAGUUCAGACGAGACUACCCGCCGAACUUAAGCAUAUC